This 221-nucleotide long non-coding RNA is filed under the name Elaeis guineensis (African oil palm). RNAcentral's name for it is "long non-coding RNA (EGUI_LNC045871)". The record is from RNAcentral. Lineage: Eukaryota; Viridiplantae; Streptophyta; Magnoliopsida; Arecales; Arecaceae.
AGCUGAUUAUCUAAAUGAACCGUAUCGUUGGCAACUAUGUAAAUUGAAGCUUGUCUAAUAAUAGUAUAUAGCACAUCACUAUCCAUUAUAUAGAGCUGAUCCUCUAUAUAUCUUGAACUUGUAUUCAUUAGGAUAUUAUCAACCAUGUAGGGGCUAUAGGCUUCAAUCUGUUUGCUAUCCUGAGUUGUCAUUCUUAUAUCUCGGUCAGCUUCUUCAUGAUC